UACGAAGGGGGCUAGCGUUGUUCGGAAUUACUGGGCGUAAAGCGCGCGCAGGCGGUCUUCCAAGUCAGUGGUGAAAGCCCGGAGCUCAACUCCGGAACUGCCAUUGAAACUGUUAGACUUGAGGAUGAGAGAGGUGAGUGGAAUUCCCAGUGUAGAGGUGAAAUUCGUAGAUAUUGGGAAGAACACCGGUGGCGAAGGCGGCUCACUGGCUCAUAUCUGACGCUCAGGCGCGACAGCGUGGGGAUCAAGCAGG
Molecule: ribosomal RNA, 253 nt
Filed under: uncultured bacterium
Lineage: Bacteria
Description: partial 16S ribosomal RNA
Rfam family: Bacterial small subunit ribosomal RNA
Source: RNAcentral